AGUGAACGCUGGCGGCAGGCCUAAUACAUGCAAGUCGAACGGCAGCACAGCAGAGCUUGCUCUGUGGGUGGCGAGUGGCGGACGGGUGAGGAAUACGUGGGAAUCUGCCCAGUCGUGGGGAUAACGUAGGGAAACUUACGCUAAUACCGCAUGCGCCCUUCGGGGGAAAGCCGGGGACCUUCGGGCCUGGCGCGAUUGGAUGAGCCCACGUCGGAUUAGCUAGUUGGCGGGGUAAAGGCCCACCAAGGCGACGAUCCGUAGCUGGUCUGAGAGGAUGAUCAGCCACACUGGAACUGAGACACGGUCCAGACUCCUACGGGAGGCAGCAGUAGGGAAUAUUGGACAAUGGGCGCAAGCCUGAUCCAGCCAUGCCGCGUGAGUGAAGAAGGCCCUCGGGUUGUAAAGCUCUUUGUCCGGAAAGAAAGCGCCGGGUUAAUACCCUGGUGUCCUGACGGUACCGGAAGAAUAAGCACCGGCUAACUUCGUGCCAG
This 491-nucleotide ribosomal RNA is filed under the name uncultured bacterium. RNAcentral describes it as "bacterial SSU rRNA". It matches the Rfam family "Bacterial small subunit ribosomal RNA", at positions 29 to 511 of the family's 1533-position model. The record is from RNAcentral.